This 362-nucleotide ribosomal RNA is filed under the name uncultured bacterium. RNAcentral's name for it is "bacterial SSU rRNA". It matches the Rfam family "Bacterial small subunit ribosomal RNA", at positions 1010 to 1372 of the family's 1533-position model. The record is from RNAcentral.
GAAUGUGCCUUCGGGAACCGUGAGACAGGUGCUGCAUGGCUGUCGUCAGCUCGUGUUGUGAAAUGUUGGGUUAAGUCCCGCAACGAGCGCAACCCUUAUCCUUUGUUGCCAGCGGUCCGGCCGGGAACUCAAAGGAGACUGCCAGUGAUAAACUGGAGGAAGGUGGGGAUGACGUCAAGUCAUCAUGGCCCUUACGACCAGGGCUACACACGUGCUACAAUGGCGCAUACAAAGAGAAGCGACCUCGCGAGAGCAAGCGGACCUCAUAAAGUGCGUCGUAGUCCGGAUUGGUGUCUGCAACUCGACUCCAUGAAGUCGGAAUCGCUAGUAAUCGUGGAUCAGAAUGCCACGGUGAAUACGUU